UUCGGGGUACACGAGUGGCGAACGGGUGAGUAACACGUGGGUAAUCUGCCCUGCACUUCGGGAUAAGCCUGGGAAACUGGGUCUAAUACCGAAUAGGACCACAGGACAGAUGUCUUGUGGUGGAAAGCUUUUGCGGUGUGGGAUGGGCCCGCGGCCUAUCAGCUUGUUGGUGGGGUGAUGGCCUACCAAGGCGACGACGGGUAGCCGGCCUGAGAGGGUGUCCGGCCACACUGGGACUGAGAUACGGCCCAGACUCCUACGGGAGGCAGCAGUGGGGAAUAUUGCACAAUGGGCGAAAGCCUGAUGCAGCGACGCCGCGUGGGGGAUGACGGCCUUCGGGUUGUAAACCUCUUUCACCAUCGACGAAGGUCCGGGUUUUCUCGGGCUGACGGUAGGUGGAGAAGAAGCACCGGCCAACUACGUGCCAGCAGCCGCGGUAAUACGUAGGGUGCGAGCGUUGUCCGGAAUUACUGGGCGUAAAGAGCUCGUAGGUGGUUUGUCGCGUUGUUCGUGAAAUCUCACGGCUUAACUGUGAGCGUGCGGGCGAUACGGGCAGACUUGAGUACUGCAGGGGAGACUGGAAUUCCUGGUGUAGCGGUGGAAUGCGCAGAUAUCAGGAGGAACACCGGUGGCGAAGGCGGGUCUCUGGGCAGUAACUGACGCUGAGGAGCGAAAGCGUGGGGAGCGAACAGGAUUAGAUACCCUGGUAGUCCACGCCGUAAACGGUGGGUACUAGGUGUGGGUUUCCUUCCUUGGGAUCCGUGCCGUAGCUAACGCAUUAAGUACCCCGCCUGGGGAGUACGGCCGCAAGGCUAAAACUCAAAGAAAUUGACGGGGGCCCGCACAAGCGGCGGAGCAUGUGGAUUAAUUCGAUGCAACGCGAAGAACCUUACCUGGGUUUGACAUGCACAGGACGCCGGCAGAGAUGUCGGUUCCCUUGUGGCCUGUGUGCAGGUGGUGCAUGGCUGUCGUCAGCUCGUGUCGUGAGAUGUUGGGUUAAGUCCCGCAACGAGCGCAACCCUUGUCUCAUGUUGCCAGCGGGUAAUGCCGGGGACUCGUGAGAGACUGCCGGGGUCAACUCGGAGGAAGGUGGGGAUGACGUCAAGUCAUCAUGCCCCUUAUGUCCAGGGCUUCACACAUGCUACAAUGGCCGGUACAAAGGGCUGCGAUGCCGCGAGGUUACNANCCUUUUNANCGCGAAUCCUUUUAAAGCCCGUCUCAGUUCGGAUCGGGGUCUGCAACUCCUAGACCCCGUGAAGUCGGAGUCGCUAGUAAUCGCAGAUCAGCAACGCUGCGGUGAAUACGUUCCCGGGCCAANUUGUACACACCGCCCGUCACGUCAUGAAAGUCGGUAACACCCGAAGCCAGU
Molecule: ribosomal RNA, 1369 nt
Filed under: Mycobacterium sp. DWMJ-1819A5
Lineage: Bacteria; Bacillati; Actinomycetota; Actinomycetes; Mycobacteriales; Mycobacteriaceae
Description: bacterial SSU rRNA
Rfam family: Bacterial small subunit ribosomal RNA
Source: RNAcentral